RNAcentral lists this ribosomal RNA (425 nucleotides) under Ercolania sp. 9 JEV-2014. RNAcentral's name for it is "partial 16S ribosomal RNA". It matches the Rfam family "Archaeal large subunit ribosomal RNA", at positions 1921 to 2664 of the family's 2987-position model. Lineage: Eukaryota; Metazoa; Mollusca; Gastropoda; Limapontiidae. The record is from RNAcentral.
AGCCUUAAGGAAUUAUUUAAGGUGAUGCCUGCCCAGUGCAAAAUGUUAACGGCCGCAGUACCUUGACUGUGCUAAGGUAGCAUAAUCAGUUGGCUUUUAAAUGGAGUCGGGAAUGAAUGGACUAAUGGGGCUAAGCUGUCUCUCCUAUACUUAAUUGAAUUUAUUUAUUAGGUGAAAAUACCUAAAUGUAGAAAAAAGACGAGAAGACCCUAGGAGUUUUUACUAAAGAUUAUAAUUCUACGUUUUUGUUGGGGCGACAAGAGAAGAGUUAAACUUCUUUUAAAAACAGGCCGACUUUGGUAAGUAAGAAUAAACUACCCUAGGGAUAACAGCGUAAUUCUUUUUGAGUUUGCGACCUCGAUGUUGGACUAGGGAUCUGGUAGGCUAGCCGCCUACUAUAUAUUGUUCUGUUCGAACUUAAUUCC